UCUGUCCCUAGAGGCUUUGCAGGUAUGGCUGGUGUGUCAUGUGCACAUCAAUAGGUGGCAGAGAGGAGAGAGGCUAUGUCUACACUCUGUUCUGACAUUUGGGCAAUGGAAUGAUUAGUGCCCUAACAUU
Small nucleolar RNA from Rattus norvegicus (Norway rat), 130 nucleotides. Ensembl annotates it as small nucleolar RNA SNORA17. The record is from Ensembl. NCBI's taxonomy places the organism in Eukaryota, Metazoa, Chordata, Mammalia, Rodentia, Muridae.